UCUCUCCUCCCUCAAAAGUACCACCAUCUUUUCCGACAUGGCUACUUCUUCAAUCUUCAUGGCAACUCCCAUCACACUCCUCAAGAAAACUCCCACCUUCUCCGUCAAAUGUAUGUCACAAACACCUCAAAGCGGUGAACCGGAGGUUUCAAAACCAGCAACCACCCCAACACUACCACAGAUCAACAUUCCUCCUCCUCCGCCACCUGCUCCAAAGGUCAGCACGAAGUUCUCUGACGUGUUGGCGUUUAGUGGACCUGCACCGGAGAGGAUCAACGGAAGGUUAGCCAUGAUAGGGUUUGUGUCGGCGAUGGCUGUGGAACUGAGCAGCGGUCAAGACGUGUUCACCCAGAUCGGCAACGGCGGUGUUGCGGUGUUUGUCGGGACAAGUGUGGUGUUGACGUUGGCGUCGUUGGUGCCGUUGUUUAAAGGAGUGAGCGUGCAGUCGAAGUCGAGUGGACUGAUGACAUCAGAUGCAGAGCUUUGGAAUGGGCGGGUUGCGAUGUUGGGUCUGGUGGCUUUGGCUUUUACUGAAUAUGUUAAAGGCAGUGCCCUUGUCUAGAUAAUGUAGCAUAAACUUUUCUAUUACAGAAUUACAUCUAAGAUAGGCAAAUGUAUAUUCUUUUGAAUAUUUAUGUGUAUCGAUUUACCAUACAUAGUUCAAAUCAUGAAAAUCAUGUUUUUUUGAUAAUAUAGUAUAAAACAAAUAUGAUCAAUCAAAUCGAACGAUUGUGGUAUCUUUCAAUAUAAAAUUCUUUUUACAAAAAUAAACAAACAACAUACUAAGAUAAUUUUUUGAGGAAUGAACCUAGAUUAGCAAUAUAAGAGUCAAAGUCUACAAAGAUAUUGACAUCCUAGUUUCACAACUUCCUCUUUGAAUGUUGAAGGUGAUCAUUAAUUCAGACUGAAUAUGUGGCUAAGUCCAGCCUAGUCAAUUAGCCAAUUUAAGUUGACAAGUAUCCAAAAUUCAAAUAAACUACAUGGCUCAAUUUCAAAGAAAACUGAAAAAUGACUAAUGCUCACAAAAUGAUCACCGAAUCAAUUUAGGCUAUGAGGAGUGGUCACAUUCAAACCACCGGAAAAACGCUGCAAAGUCAGUGAUAUGUCAACUCCAUCACCUUCUAAACAUUGGAAACAAUUACCACUCCGUGUCAUUUAUAUUUUCAUUUUUUUUACAUUAGAUUAAAUAAAAAACAUAAUUACUAACUUAAGUAAUCAUUUUACUAAUUAAAAAAUCAACUAAACAUAUAUUAAUUUUCAAAAUUAAAUAAACAUAUAUAGUAUAUAUAGUUGAGGGUUUAACUUAAUUCAAAGAAAAGUAAGAGGGUAUAAUAAGAUUAAAAGACAUAAUUUUAGAGACCAAAUUUGUAACUUUAGUUAAAGCAAAUAUGAAUGGUCUUCUUCACAGGUCAUUGCUCAAUACCAUUUUUUUUCUUUUACUUCGAUGGAUACAAAGGAAAAGGGAAAAAAAGGGUCAAAUAAAUGACCGUUAUUGUUCUUGCUUUCUUAUCCGUCGUCUUCAUCCGUCUUUGCACCCACAUUACACCCAAACCACCGGCCUUAGGGGUGGUGGUGUUCACGUGUCCUUAGGCCGGACACAUCAGCAAGAUGUGUGAGUUAGUCCUCCCACUCCGAUUAGCCUUAAGCACUUAUUAAAAGCUAGUCUAUUUCUUGUUAGGUUGAAAUCUAAUGUUAUCAUCAAAUCUAUACAAGAUUGAGAUUGAUAUUAUAGUAACAAUCUCCCAAAGAAAAAUAAUAUAUUUAAAAGAAUAUAUAUAUANNNNNNNNUAUAUAUAUAUAUGAAUUAUGCCCCAAGAAGUACUAUGCAUGAGUAUAAGAUUACUAUUAUCUUUGGAUCCAUUAAUUGAUAACUAAGCAUACUUCAAAGUUACUAUAUGGUCGUAUGAGACCCGCGAAUAGGAAAUUGGCUGCACCCUUGGCCCGAUUCGAAGGCUAAAACCCAAAAGAACCAUGCACAUGAUUCGAACCAAGUGCUCUAAUGCUAUUUUGCCCAACUUACAUGAACUACCUCCAUACACAUACUUAAGAAACCCAUAAUCUCAUCCAGAUAGAGCAGGAAUGCCAGAGAUAAUCGGAAUAAUACCUCAAUCAAUUACAAAAAACAUCCGCAUUAUCGGUUGAAACAAGAUCCCAUACUUGAUUGAGACUGAACGGAUUCCAUCGCUACACAACUAGCUCGAGAAGACUUCCACGGAUCUCGAAAGUUGCCUAAACCUGAGUCUGCUAUGAAAUAGGUUCCCACUCCACCAUUGAGGGUAAACACACUUGAAGCCCCAAUGGACAUAGAUCAUACUAAGCUUGAUAACAGAUCAGCCUGACCACUACAUCUCGACUGACACAAUUAAACUUCCAAGUGAACUUUUAUUGAUUGAUGAACCCCACAACCAGUGGUCGAGGACACUUUAACACUUAGUCCAGAGAAUCAAGACCACAUAGAACUGAACAUACCCACUCAUGGAAAGAUCCAUCGACCAACGUCUGCCCAACUAAUAUGAAAAUAGUAAUCCAACAACAAACUGGGAAAUCCCUCAACAGCUAAAAAUACUCAACCUGAGAAUCCCGAUUCUCCUCCACUUAGGGCUUAAACUACCAUUCACUAGCGCUAAAACCAAAUCAUAAAUCAAACCAUAUUGAGGAUAUACUCCCUUCCUAACCCUGGAAGUUACGAGCCUCUUCACUCCUUCCCCGAACUCGGAAAAAAUGAAAGGGCAUAACCCUAGCCAUUGAUAAUGACGUUCCAAACCAACAAUCAACCACUUCCAACUGUAAAACCCAAGUCAAUCUUAAUCAUCGUCCCCUUCACGAGUCCCGCGACUCGAAUACCCGACCUCAAGCAAAACCCCCGAGGCCUCAAACAAAAAAGCUCCCUAGGUCUGCACCAAACAAACAAAAUCACUAACGCCACUGGGGCUCAAAACACUUACCAUAUCCAUCCGCAUGUCGGAGCAUCCACAAGCAAAAUAUUAACAGGAACAUAAACACUGCCGCGAAUCAUGGUAUCCAACCAUGCUAUCUUCACCGACCAACCCUUAGAAUCCCCAAAACCUUCCUUGAUUAGAUUAUGGAUCCUGUGCUUCAAGUAGUACUGGCCCAAUACUACCUUCCAUACCUAUCCAUACUUUCCUCAAGAAUCAUCCCAAGUCUUUUAAGUCCUAGUCAUAAAAUACUCCUGAAACUUGCUUAACAAUGAAGCAACCACGCUAAAAUACUCACCUACACUCCCUCUGCCAUCAACUGCUGAUAAACCCCUACCAAUGCCAGCUAACCACUUCAUGAAUACAAUUACACACAACCAAGCUUAAAUAAUCCUUCGAAUAAAGGGCUUAGCCCUACAACGAUUGGACUCAAACGAGAGCUGCACAAUAGGUUUGAGUCCUUCAUUCUAAGAUUAUUUAACCUUCAUAGCAUGUAAUUUUAUUAUAUUCACUUGAUGGUUAACUCCCAUCAACAUGGGUCCCACAAAGCACAAAGCAAGCAACAUUCGGGUAGAGAAGCCGACUGCGACUAAAACGCAACAAAAUCAGACAUAUCCUCAUAGAAAAUCCUCGAUCUCAAACUCCUCGCACCACGAGUGCGCCUUCACCCUGCUCUCACUCUCCCCAGAGUGGUUAAUCAUUCCUCGUGCUUACCCGCUAUACACUGCACCCACUCAUGAAACUUCCACCAACCCUACAACACUCGUGUAUGCUAGCCGUACAUAACACUGGAUCCUAUAGACAGUCGAAUAUCUGAUCCUACUCUAAGCCCUUCAUCAAACAAGAACAUGAAAUAAGGCCAAACCAAACAUUCUCAGGCUAUAGAAUCUUAGUUAUGUACAACUAUGAUGUAUACACUAAGUAACUGUAGUAGAUGAUGUCAAUUUCAUUUAAGGAAGAACCCUAGGCUAUCAGACAUCAUAUAAUCAUGCAACUUUGUCAUGCAAUUCCUGAAGAUCCCUAGCCUAUCACUACCAUGCUAUUCUAAUAUUUCACAAGAUCAAAUAAAGUGUGGUAAUUUGGGGUCUACUUACUAGCUCCGACUGAUCAUACACAUCGUAUCCUCUUUAGUUUGAAAGUUAUUUUUAAAACCUUUACUUUGAAAAUUACUUUUUUUAAAACACCUUUUCCUUAGUUUGAGACCGGAUUCACACGAGUUUUCCUCCCAUUCACUCAAACCAAGGCUCUGAUACCAACUAGUAACGUCACAAAAAUUUCAACAAAUCUAAACCUUUCAAAACAACCCAUAUGUUAACAAAAGUGAUUUGAUCCGCAGGCACUCUGCACGCCUUGAACUCCCGUAAUGAGGGAGUUCGAGCCCCAAUCUGACCCACAGUGAUCUCAGAUCGGAAAGAACAAUCCGCUCCUCCAUAUCCUCCAUGAUCCCCUCCUUGACGGUACUGAACCCGAUCUCGAACCUGAACCUCCUCGCGUAGCCAUCAUAAUCUUCAACUGAAAAUACAACAUAGAAAGAAAUUGAUAAGGAAGUUCAAAGGGAUUUCUCCCCACUGGACUCCUUAAAGCCUUCAGGUAUGUCCUUGUCUCGGGUACAAGUCUUGUGCUUUUAGUAGUACGGACCAAAUACUACCUUCCACACCUACCUGUACAUUCCCCCAAGGCCAUACCUGAUACCUCCAAUUCACCAAACCAUAGAUAAAACAUGACCUACGAAACACAGCACAUACACAUAUCUUAGAAUCUUCGGGGAUUUCUCAAUCCUCAUAGAACCAGAAACCUCAAUCAACACCGCAUGUUGCCUUAUGCAUGCAAGUUAUACAUUAAUAGAAUCAUAGAGACUGUCAAAUAAAGUUUCUACCCUAAGACCACAACCAAACAAGGAACAAGAAGUAAGGCAGAAUCCAUCGUUCUAGGGCUAUAAAAUCCUAAACAUAUACAACUUUGAAAGCAUACACUUAGCAAAUAACAACGUCAACAUCGAUUCCAAGCAUUAUAUUCAUAGCAUUGAACUCUCCUAGGCUACAAGGCAUCUCACAAAUCAGACAAUUCUCAUAACACCUAAAGGUAUCCUUAGCCCUAUUCUAGCAUGCAUUUCACACAUUAACAUACUAGUUGCAAUUCAUAAGCAUGGUUAAAUUUUUGGAAACACUUACUUGAGCUUGGCUGAUUUCGCGCAUUGCGCUCUCCCUUUUUACUUAAGAAAACCGGUUUAAGAAAAACUUGACUUUUGUUUCUUUUUUUAAAAAGGUUUACCAUUUCCUCAGUUUGAGUUGUGACACAUAGUGUGCCCGAAUUCCUCAAACCAAGGCUAUGAUACCAACUUGUAAAAGCCCAAAAAUCCAGAUAAAAAUUUUCAUUUAAAAAAAAAUAGAAAUUACAAUCAUAAUUUGUUUCUUAAAAUCCAUUACAUCAUUUCAUAUCAAAAUAUCAGAGUAUCAAUAUCAAUAAAUGAGGAAAUUCUUGGGAGUGAAUGUUGCGCCAUCUAGCUAGGCCCUUCCCCUUAGUACCGAAAGUACCUGAAAACACCUAAAUAAACUGUAAGCAAAAACUUAGCGAGUUCCCAAAAUACAACAUAACAUAUAACCACAGAAUACCACGCCACAUACAUAAGAUUGCCAUGGACAACCCCAUGGUCUUUACUUGGAAUGCCAUGGGCUACCCCAUGGUAUUUACCUAGAAUGCCAUGGGAUACCCCCAAGGUCGGAUAUCCAAGUGCCAUGUGCUACCCCAUUGGUCUUUACCUGGAAUGCCAUGGGCUACCCCCAUGCUCUAAUAUCCAAGUGUCGUGCGCUACCCCCAUGGUCUUCAUAUAAGUGCCACAGGCUACCCCCGUGGUCUUCACAUAAUGAAUUGCAUAAAAACUAUCAAUCCACAUGUCAGGCAAUGGGCCGCCAUUGGUGCCUUCGACCCAUUGAUAUAGUGAGAAGACUCACCUCAGACUGCUGAUAAAAAUACUGCUCGGCUAACGCUCUAGAUAUCUGACACUGAAUAUACACAAGUUAACCUAAUUAGAAUUAAGUCACAAACUCAAGGCCUAGGCCAAAACCCUAAGUACAAACUCCUCCAAUAAGGCCCAAAGUCUUUUUCCUUUAAUGGGCCUAACAUCCAAGAUCCAAAAAGGGGCAUAAGGCCCAAAAGGCCUAGCCAUGCCACUUAUGGUCCAACAACAAGUUCAAAGGCCCAAAUACUAUAAUAGAUCCAGGCCCAAGUCUAAGUAGAGCCCAAAUAGCUUAAAGGCCCAACAAAAGCCCAAAACUCAUUGGAAGCGUACGCCCAACGUACAUCAUCAGUACGCUUAGCAUACUGGGUUCUUUGGCGGUUAGCGUAGUGUACAAGCUAGUAUGCCCAACGUACAAGCUACUUUGCACAAAAAGCCAUUAAGUGCUUAAUUCAUGAAGCCAUUUCGUCCGAUUCCAGAUCUUGGUCAUCUUAAAGGUCCUAGGGCAUAAAGAUGGUAACUUUAUGUGUUUACAUGCCAUAUGGGAACCCAACACCUGAUUUUAUCCAUUAAGACUCCCUUUAAGAUCUUAAACUCAUGCAUGGUGCCAUAACAACCAUCAAGUUAGCAUUUUUAUGCUUUUAACAUGCCAAAGGAACUAGGAUCUAACAUUUAUAAUCUCUGGAGUUGUUCAAACUUACAAAAGAGGAUCCAUGGACCAAAAAUGGACUUAUUACCAAACCCUAACUCAAACUAGCGAAAGGAUAAGCAAGUUCUGGACUUUUUACCUCCAAAAGUUUUCCAAGAUGAAGUAGAUGCAGGAUCUAGAAGCUCAAACACGUCUAAGAGUUGAUCACAACCUUCUCCUUCUUACACACACAUUAAAAUAGCCACCAAAAUCACUUUUAAGCUCAAGAAUCACACUCACUUGCAAACUAGGGUUUAGGGACGAUAAGAGGCAAUAAAAGCUAUGUAGGGUUAGGUCCAAAUGUCAUAAGAGUGUUAAAAUAGGGUUCAUGCGCAAAAAUUAGGGUUUUUGUCAUAUGCCACGUACUCCUCGCAUACAUGGUGCAUGUACGCAUCUAAACCACCCUAGUACGCUAAGCGUACACGUAUGUACGCCCUGUUGGAUUAGUGUUUAAGUCCAUAACUAUAUUUGGUAUGUAUUUGACCAGGUUGUGCAUGGUCCUUUUAGGUUGCCUUCACCGAAGCAACUUGACUAGAGGAAUUAUAUAGAAAGAGGUGAUUAUGGUUUAUUAAUAUAUUAUAAGAUUUAUAUAUUAAAAGAGAAAUCAUGUUUGAUUAAUUAACAUUGGUCAAGAGUUAAUUAAACAUUAGUUUUGUGAUCAAAAGAAGUUAAUUGAACUUAAGGGGCUGAACUGUAAUUAUGUGAUAGUUACAAAGUUAGGCAAGGAAACCCUAAUGGAUAGGGUGGAUGAAUUCUAGGGAUAUAGCCUUAAGAAUUCGCCCAUGAUAGGGAUUCUAGAAUUAUCUUAUGGGCUGCUUGGUGGCUAAGUAACCAUAUAAGAAUAAUGAAUGAAACCCUAAUUCCUAAACCUAUAUAAAGGACCCUUGGUCAUGGGAAUUUCGGCAACUUGAACCCUAGAAGUCCUAGAGCCGAAAUUCUCCUCUUCCCUCUCUUGCUUCCUCUAAUUGCUAUUGGUGUUUGUUAUUAAUUAGAGGCACAACACUUGAGGUGCUAAAGUUGUCAAGGCUUCAAGAUCUUCAAUCAACAACGAGGUAAGCAUCUUGAUAUACUUUGCUAAGUUAAUUUCAAUUAUAUACACUAGAUCUAGGGUUUGAAAGUCUUGGAUGAAUGCACGUACAAUUAGAGAAACCUAGAUCCAAGCAUUAGGGUUUGCAUGAGCACAUAGGAUGUUCUUUUGGCUCAAACCUAUCAGUGGUAUCAGAGCUUUUGUUUGGUUUCUAUUGUAUUGAUGCCUUGCUUGUUCAUCCUCUCUUGAAAAUCGUGAUUUUGUGUUCUCUGCCUGACGAACUCGAUGAGUCCCAAUGUGGGCUCGACGAGUAGGAUGAACUCGACGAGUCCAUAAGGGCACUCAACGAGUCGGAGCGUCAGACAUAGAUUUUCGGGAUUUCUUGUUGUUUUGCUUAAUGAUAAUUACCUAAAUCGUUUUUGACUAAUAAAAUCUGAAUUUUAUUACUGCUUUAUGUUUAUCCUUUCCAAAACAAAAGAUAAUUUCCAUUUAUUUGAAUAAUAAAUUCCUUAUAUGAUAAUAAUUGAUUAUUUAAAUUAUUUGUUGAAUUAUCUUAUGAAUAAAAUUGAUUAGGUCAAAUUUAGAUAAUCAUUAAAUUAAUUGUUUAAUUUAAAUUAUUUGCUAUUUGAUCCUUUAUGUUUUGAAAAGUUCAAAACUUGUCCUCAAGUUUUGAAAUUUAAAUUUGUGAUUAAAAGUUUAAUUUAAACUAUUUAAAUUUCAAACCCUAGAAUUUUACAAGUUUAAAAUUCAACCUUAUACUUUACAAUANUUAAACGCUAGUCUUACUGUUAGUAGGCCUCAUUCACGAAGCCGAUCUAGAAGGAGGUAUAAGGUUAUGACCUAUAAAAUGGCCAUUUAAUGGGUGUCCACUCUCACCCACCACAUCCUUGAUUGGUGGAGGGUCGUUAGCCGAACGGGUAAGAUAGGGCAACCCUUUCUCAUGAAUAAGUAUAAUGAAUUAUAAAAGUAACUAAAUGUUUUACAAAAUUCCCAAUCUUAAUUACUUUAGGCAAAAGUGAAAUUGAUGCAAUUCCAUUAAAUUACAUUUUGUACCCGUGCUAAGACGUUAGUGGAGCGUGUGUGGUUAACUGGCACACUAAUUCGGUUCUAAGAAAAGGUGGUAAAGGGUGACUCAUUGUUUCUCAUUGUUCGAUGGAGCAUGUGUGGUUAACCAGCACAUCGAAUAGGUGACUGUAACAAUGAGGGCACCAUGUAUAUUUGCAUGGUUAUUCAUACCCACUUUGUGAUCCUCAGCAUCCCAGUCACAAACUAGAGGGGCAUAUCAAGAUUUAUACAUGCCAUUGAAAAGUUCAAUGAAUCUCAAAAUAUCUAGGAGUUUUCAAUACAUUUAAAACUUAAUCUCUUUUUCGUUUUUCAUGGUGGAGAAUUAGUGAAUCGUCAUUCACUUACCUUCAAAUUAUUUGCAUGUUAGAUUACGACACCCCUCUUCUAAUAUGUAAAUAAUGUUGUUGGAUCCUAGCCCUAAUUUCUCAUUUAGGUGUUUCAUUAGGGAUUCAUUUCUAAUCAAACUUUGUUCUUUUUCCUUUUCAGAUGUCGAACAACAACAAUGCUUCCGGAUCGUUCUCACUCAUGAACUUGUGUGGGAGAGUGAUCUUUGACGAGUCCAAUUUCAAUGAUUGGAUUCGCAACAUCCGAAUGGUCACUCGUUACGAGGACAAAGAGUAUGUCCUUGAUAAGAAGCUGAAGGAAAUCAACCUCAACACUGCUACUACUGAAGAGAUCGCCACCUUUAAGGCUCAUGAGCGUGAUGCCACGAAAGUCCAUUGCAUCAUGCUAGCGACCAUAACUGCAGAACUCCAAAAGUCCUAUGAGGACAUGUAUCCCUAUGAAAUUCAUCAAAACUUGUUGGACCGGUACCACCAAAGUGCAAGGCAAGAAAGGUAUGAGAUCAUCACUUCGAUGAUCACUACCAGAAUGGGUAAUGGAGAGUCCCUUACCGCCCAUCUGCAAAAGAUGCAGAGAUAUGUUGAUCACCUGCUAAAGUUGAAAGUUAACUUUGAUGAAGAGAUGGCAAUCGACAUUAUCCUUCACUCCUUACCUCCCUGCUACAACCAGUUCCGCAUGACUACCACAUGAAUAAGGAAGAGGUCACCUUGAGCAAGCUUCACGGCUUGCUAAGAACUGUUGAGAGCAAUUUCAAGGAUAAGUAUGUUGCAUCAACUCCAACUCCCACUGCUGCCCUUGUCUUGGAAAAAGGGCAAGGGAAGGGUAAGAAAAGGAAGGCUCCCUCAAAUAUCCACCACAAGGGAAAGUCCCAAGAUGUUACCUCUUCUAGUGGAACCAAGGCUGGUUCUGCUAAACCCAACUCUAACCCUAAUGAGCCAGAGUGCCACCACUGCCACAAAAUAGGGCAUUGGAAGAGAAGCCGCCCAGAAUAUCUGCAAGCUAUCUAGGAUGGGACGAUCAAGCCAUCCUUCGCAGGUAUUUACACUAUUAAAUCUAAUGAUUCAUCGCAUGCUAUUUCUUGGGUUAUUGAUACAGGAUGUGGUUUUCACAUAUGUUCUGAUUUGCAGGGACUAAGAAGAAAUAGGGAUGUGGAGCAUGGAAGAAUAAACCUAAUAAUGCGAAACAAAAGAUUGUCGCCUGCCACCAAUAUUGGAGUAUAUAUAUUCCUUAAUGCUUAGUAAUGGAUUAGGUUUUGAUUUAAACAAUUGCUGCUAUUCGCCAGAUAUGGCAAGAAACAUCAUUUCAUUUCAUGGUUUAUAUAGGCAAGGAUUUAGAUAUUCAUUUGAUAAUGAAAAGGGUUCUAUUUAUGCUUAUCUUAAUAGUGUUUUAUAUUUUGAAGCAUUGCCUUGUAAUGUAAUAUAUGAAACUGUGAUGGUUGUAGAUAACUUAGGAAAUGAUGUAUUGUGUGUUGAUUCUUCCAACAAUAUAGAUAAAGCAUGCUUGUGGCAUUGUCGUCUUGGACAUGUCAACAAGAAACGCAUAGCCCAACUCUAAAAGGAUGGAGUGUUGGAGUCAUUCGACCUUAGGGAUGAUGACGUGUGUGAGUCUUGUUUACUUGGAAAGAUGACCGAUGUGUGUGGGCACUUGUGAAAGGGGUGAGGGUUUAUUGGAUCUCAUACACACCGAUGUGUGUGGGCCCUUUAGAUUACCACAAAAGAUGCAAGCCACUUCUAUGUGACUUUUACCGAUGAUUAUAACAGAUAUGGGUAUAUCUACUUAAUCAAGCACAAGUCGGUAACCUUUGAAAGGUUCAAAGUGUUUAAAGAAGAAGUGGAGAAUCAUUUGGGCAGGAAUAUCAAGAUGCUUCGAUCCGAUCGAGGAGGAGAGUACCUAAGUCUUGAAUUCCAUGACUAUCUCAAGGAAUGCGGAAUCGUUUCACAAUUGACGUCACCUAGGACACCGCAGUUAAAUGGUGUGGCUGAGAGGCGUAAUCGAACCUUGUUGGACAUGGUUCAUUCCAUGAUGAUUCGUGCUUCACUACCUAUCUCAUUCUGGGGGUAUGCCUUAGAGACUGCCGCCCAUAUCCUUAACUUAUUCCCUACGAAGAAGGUUGCCAAAACACCUCACGAGAUGUAGACAGGGAAAGCUUCCUCGUUAGCACAUAUCAAGGUUUGGGGGUUGCGAGGCUUUCGUAAGACGAGAGACUCACGACAAGCUCGAACCUCGUAGUGAGUGGUGUAUUUUCACCAGCUACCCACAAAAGACCUUUGGAUAUCUCUUCUAUAGUCCGAGUGAGAACGUUGCCUUCAUUGCGAGGAGAGGGGUUUUCCGUGAGCGAGAACUCAUAAGCCUAGGGGACAGUAGGAGGCAAAUCGAUCUUGAAGAGAUUCAAGAGUUGAGCGAUGAAGGAACCUCCAACACCGGGGCUUACCCGAGGAGGAAACUCCGGUUGAACCGAUUGACGAGUCCUUACCUCUUAGACGUUCCGAAAGAGUUAGGUUUCAACCCCAGUUAUAUGGCUUUCAUAUUACUACAGAAGGGGAUACGUAUAUUAGUGAUAUUAUACUAAUAAAUUUGGAUGAACUUAACAGCUAUAAGGAAGCCAUUGCAGGCCCAGAGUCUGCAAAGUGGAAAGAGGCGACGGACAGUGAGAUUCUGUCCAAGUAUGACAACCAAGUUUGGAAUUUGGUUGACAAUGUACUAGGUCGUAAGAUGGUCUGGUGCAAAAUGAUCUUUAGGAAGAAGGUACUAAAACGUUUUGUGACAACCCGAAAUUUCCAUUUUGUACGAACAUUAGCUAUUCAAUAGAAGCUAGUCCAAUUUCAAUGAAUUUCAGACUUUUCUAAAUAAAUUUGUGUACAUUAGGGUUUACGUUUAAGGAGAUAUCAGGAGAGUGGAUGCUCAUGGGUUUGUGAAACUUGAGCAUUUCAAAACUUCAUAAUGUUAGAGUCCAAUUCCGGAAUAAAAAUAUUUUCUGCCAAAAUAUUUCAGGACUAUAAAUAGAUUUCUGAACUAAAUUCAUUCAUUAUUCACACUUCCAACUAGAGAAAAGCCAUUUUCUCUCUCACAGAUCUUCGGGUUUUCAUCCCAAAUCGUGAGUACACUUCUUUAGUUGUUUUAUAAUGCUUGUUAUAUGCUUAAUAACAUAGAUUACAUGUCAAAUAUGUGAGAUCCGGGAGUUUACCGCCCAAGAACGUUCUUGGGGAGUAAACUCGAAAAUAAAGCUUUAAGGCUAUCUAGUCCCAUUUCCUUGUUAGGUAACUAGCUUAGGAUAAUAUGUAGGAUCAUUUGAGACAAGAAAACAAUCCAGAACACAUAGCUUUAGGAGUUUUCGGCCCAAGAGUUUCUUGGACCGUAAACACCAAAUACAAGGGCUUAAAUGUGCCCUAAUCACUCCCAAAGGCUUUAGACUUUAACCCUAAAUUACUUCUAGCUAAUAUGGGGACAUUAACACAUCAAAAAAACCCCUAAAAGGGAGUUUACGGCCAAGAAAUGCUCUUGGGCCGUAAACACCAAUUAAGGGCACCAAAGUGUGCCUAGGGCCCCCCUUAGCAUAAAUCAAAUGCCUCGAAAGUAUUCUACUUGUGUUUGAGACUUGAAAGAAUUAAAACAUCCAUCCCAUGAGAGUUUACGGCCGUAAACUCUAAGGGAUAUGGCCUUUUGGCCGUAAACUCCUCAAAGGAGUGUUAUCUAUGCCCUAAACUACCCAAAGGAUUAAACCACCAAACUAGGCUUAUUCUAGAAAUCAUUUAGCACUUUAAAACACCCAUUACCACCAAGAUUGGAGUUCACGGCCGUAAACUCAAGGUUUUACGACCGUAAACUCCUUGUGUGGGGUUUAUUGGGUAGUAAACUCUUAUACAAAGUCCUUGGAAGCUUUAAACCCCUUUAGCUUGUCCCAUAACAACUUAGAUGCAACCAUUAGGACCUAUAACACUUAUACAAGGUGUUUACAUGUUCCUAAGUGUCCCAACUUAUUUCAUUAAGUUAUUAUUUGGCUAAUUAGUUAUAUAUAUGCUCAUUAUAUGAUAACUAGGCUCGUGCGUGUGAACAAGUCUCCGUUUGCCACCUAGCACGGUAUCCGACACUACAAUCCAAACCACUCACCACAAGUGAGUUCAUACCCCUUUAAUUAACCUUUGAAAUACUUUUAAAUGUUUUAAAUACUUUAUGGGGGGGAUACAAGUUAAAUGCUUAUAGUUAUUGCAUCAAUCACAUGUGAUUACAUUAAUCAUAUGUGAUUAAUAACUAGAAAACCAAUGAUCUUAUCACUGUUUAAACUGUUUAUCAAACUGUUUUACUUCAAACUGUUUUACAAACUCUUUUACUCAUCAAAUACUUUUAUUUAAACUUUGUUAUACUUCUUAUAAACCGCAUGCCCAUAUAUGUAUAGAUAUAUAAGCAAUGUUUAAAGGGUUUAGGAAGGUCAUCCGCCCUAUUUCCUUUUUCUCGAUUUGGAUGUGGUCUGGUGGGAUUUCGGGUAACCAUCCGAAGGUCGUUUCAAUAUUAAUUAUAUAUCAAAUGUACAUAUAUAGACAUAAAAGUACUCCUUNUAUACUAGGAGAAGAACAUAUACAACUAUACUAGAGGAAGAACAUAUACAACUAUACUAGAGGAAGAACAUAUACAACUAUACUAGAGGAAGAACAUAUACAACUAUACUAGAAAGAGAACAUAUACAACUAUACUAGAGGAAGAACAUAUACAACUAUACUAGAACAGUUCAUUACAUUACACAUACUAGAAUACGUUCAUUAUUGUGAUAUGAAUCGGGGCAUGACUUAAAUGCCAUGGCCCGAGUUGUAGCCAGAGUCUCUUGAAGGGAGAGCGUGAGUUUGCGUAUAGAUCUAUACUGGAUUGACUAUCCUACACCUUGCUGCUAGCUACAGCCGGACCUGCAGGUCUGCGGGUGCCAAACGUCAUUCCGUUAUUACGACCAUUCGUAUGUCGUUGUUACCAGUCGAUAGUAUGGUGCAAUUAGUCACAUGAUACCUUAAUAUAAAUCCGGUUUAAGGUAGUUAGUACAACAAUAGUUCCUAUAAUACAACACUACAGUACUACAAUAAUUUACCCAUUACAUAUAUUUAGUGAUUAUUUCACUUAAACAUUAAUGUACAAACUAUAUUUUGUUAAAUGAUAGUUACACUUGGGAAAUUACACACUUUUACAACAAACGAGCAUACAAAACAGUUAAGCCUUGGUAGAAGGCUACUUUAAUAGAAAAUAUAGGUUUUUCUGAGAGAUUCAAACUUUUACAAACACUUACAUACAUUUUACAAACUUACACUUGAGACACGUUCAAACGUUUUGAUAACAAACAUCGACACUAAAAUACUUAUGAACUCACCAGCUUAAUGCUGAUAAACUCUUUCAAAAUAACUUGUAUUCUCAGGUCAUCAAUAGACAGGUACUUAGGCCAGCUUUUGAGAAGAUGGAGCGCAUUCAAGACUCAUCUUAUUAUUUUGAUUUACAUUAUAUUUUGGUGUCUAAAACUGUACAGAACACGCUUGUAUUAAAAUUAUAUAUUUAAUGCAAUGGAUGAUGCUGUUUGCUUAUUUACAUUUACUGUGUUGUGAUACUUUACAUGACGUCCUCCGCCCCACAACGUUUCCGCCGUUCUUGGUUUUGGGGUGCGACACGUUUUAGUAUGGAGAAUUCAAAGAAGGCAGAGUUACCAAUCCAAAGUAAUGCGAAGUUGAGUACGACUCAAAGUCCGAGUACUGAAGUCGAGAUAGCAGAAAUGAGCUAAGUACCUUACGCUUCCGCAGUUGGCUCGAUCAUGUACGCUAUGACUUGUACUCGCCCUGAUGUGGCCUUCGCUUUGAGCAUGGUCAUUAGAUAUCUAGGGAACCCUAGAAAAGCACAUUGGACCGCAAUCAAGAAUAUUCUUAAGUACCAUCGAAGGACCAAGGAAUGGUUUCUAGUCCUCGGUGGGAGUGAUGACUUAAAGGUGCGAGGGUAUAGUGACGCCAGUUUUCAGACCGACAGGGACAACUACCGUUCGCAGUCGGGCUGGGUCUUUACCCUAAAUGGUGGAGCAGUGACUUGGAAAAGUUCCAAGCAAGAGACCGUAGCUGACUCAACAUGUGAAUCAUAGUACAUUGAAGCAAGCGAAGCGUCAAAUGAGGCAAUAUGGUUGAAGAACUUCAUUGGAGACCUUGGAGUUGUGCCGACCAUACAGGAGCCUAUUGAGAUUUUCUGUGAUAAUGAAGGAGCGGUUGCCUUGACCAAGGAACUGAGGGAUCACGGCAGAUCUCAACAUAUUGACAGAAAAUAUCACUUUAUUCGAUAUCAGAUGGAAAAAGGACUCCUCGUAGUGAAGUGCGUAUCGUCAGAAGAUAACCCAUCAGAUCUGCUUACGAAGGGACUGAGCAGGGUUAAGCACUUGCAGCAUGCUAGGAGCAUCGGGCUGAAGGACGAUAUUAGUUUAGAUUAGAUAGUUUGGAAACGUGUAAUAGAUAAAUUAUAAUUAACAUCUGAUGAUUAAAUAAAAGAGUAUUAUUUAUUAGUAAUGUUACUAUCUUAUGUUAAUUGUUUACCUAUUGUUUCAUUUUGCAUGUUUUGACUUCCUGAAUAAUAAGAAUUAUUUAAAUGGUCUACAGUUGUUCAUAUGUUGGAACUAGGUAUGAAUGAAGACUGUCAUGAAUUGGUGUGUAGAUUGUCUAAAGUGUAUUAGACAUAGCAAAAGUUUGCUACAACAUUCAUGAGUGCUUAUGAAAAGUUUUGAGCAUUGGAAUAAACCCAUGCUUGCUGGAAUCACUUCAUGGAAUUCAUCAUGAGUGAUCGCAAGACGAUAAUAUAUCAUAUGGUCUUAAAACAUAGAUAUAUGGUUUAUUGUUUUCUAAUUGGUUGUGCAUUGAUAAUGCGUAAACACAUCAGUAACUUGAUGUUAUAAAACGCAUUGUUGUGUAUGAUUUGAUUAGUGGAUAGUAAAUGCAUAUAAGUCUAAGUUCAUCUGUUCCUUUUAUCCUAAUAGGUUAAAAGUGAUAUCAGGACCCCUUGAUGAUUUGAUUUGACUUAUGUGUCGGGCCCGGUCAGGACUGAAUUGAUGUGUUCAAUUACGUUCUAUGUCAAAUGAAUCAGAGAUUAAGAAACAAACUGUUGGAUAAUAAGUAUGACUAUGUUCCAUGUAAUUGUCCGCAUGAUAUCUAGAACAAAGGAUUAUACGAUCCCUUAUCUUAAGGACAAGUUACUGAUAAGAUCAAGAGUUUUGAGAACUGUGAUUGCUAAUCGAAUCCAGAAGUUGCAUUUGCAUUUAUAGUUAUUAUCAAGGUUGUAAAAAAUUCUCGACGUUAGCUAGUCGGUGGACUGGGGUUAAGAGAUUAAUCGGGUAGGCGGAGAUUAAUCGGGGGAUUAAUGGAGACCAUUAAUUGAUAAUUUGUUGAAUUUUAAAAAAUUGAAUAUGACUAAUAUCAUAUCAAAGUCCGUAAGUACCACUAAUAUCAUAACAAAAUAGGUUGAUAUGUUUAAUACAACAUUAAUCAUGCUUGAAAUAGUUUCUAUUGAGAUAAAACUUCUUAAAAAUGUUUAAAUUUCAUCGUUUUAUACAGUUUUACUCAUUAUUUAUGCAUGGAUUAAUCGCUAGGUGCCAUCUAGUUGGUUGAGUAAUGCCUAGGGAUUAAUCGGAGAUUAAUCGGGACCUAGUCAUGAUUUUUACAAUAAUGGUUAUUAGACUUAUCCAAGUAGGGGAAUGUUGGAUUAGUGUCCAAGUCCAUAACUAUAUUUGGUAUGUAUUUGACCCAGUUAUGCAUGGUCCUUUUAGGUUGCCUUCACCAAAGCAACUUGAUUGGAGGAAUAAUAUAGAAAGAGGUGAUUAUGGUUUAUUAAUAUAUUAUAAGAUUUAUAUAUUAAAGGAGAAAUCAUGUUUGUUUAAUUAACGUUGGUCAAUAAUUAAUUAAACAUUAGUUUUGUGAUCAAAAGAAGUUAAUUGAACUUAAGGGGCUGAACUGUAAUUAUGUGAUAGUUACAAAGUUAGGCAAGGAAACCUUAAUGGAUAGGGUGGACAAAUUCUGGGGAUAAUGCCUUAAGAAUUCGUCCAUGAUAGGGAUUCUAGAAUUAUCUUAUAGGCUGCUUGGUGGCUAAGUAACCAGAUAAGGAUAAUGACUGAAACCCUAAUUCAUACACCUAUAUAAAGGACCAUUGGGCAUGGGAAUUUCGGCCACUUGAACCCUAGAAGUCCUAGAGCUGAAAUUCUCCUCUCCCCUCUCUCUCUUGCUUCCUCCAAUUGCUAUUGGUGUUUGUGAUUCAUUAGAGGCACAACACUUAAGGUGCUAAAGUUUUCAAGGCUUCAAGAUCUUCAAUCAACAACAAGGUAAACAUCUAGAUCUACUUUGCUAUGUUAAUUUCGAUUAUAUACACUAGAUCUAGGGUUUGAAAGUCUUGGAUGAAUGCAUGUACAAUUAGAGAAACCUAGAUCCAAGCAUUAGGGUUUGCAGGAGCACAUAGGGUGUUCUUUUGGCUCAAACCCAUCACGCCCAAUGUACGUAGGGACCUCCUUUACAAAUAAGUUUCAUUCCAAGGGUUAAAAGGGUAAAUACCUACAUUCCGAAUGUUACAUAUAGAUAGUAAAAUACUUGAUUCUACCCUAAGCCCUUCAUCAAACAAGAAAAUGAAAUAAAGCUAAACAAAAAUUCUCAAGCUAUACAAUCUUAGUUAUGUACAACUACGAUGCAUACACUAAGCAACUACAAUAAUGACGCUAAUUAUAUAUAAGAAGUAAUCCUAGGGUAUCAAGCAUCCUAUAUCAGGAAAUCCUUUCAUGUAAUUCCUGAAGAUCCCUAUCCUACCACUAGCAUGAUGUUAUAUCAUGAAAAACAUAUCAAGUAACCGUGUGGGUAACUUUGGGUAAAUUUUCUUGCUCUGGCUGAUCAUACACAUCGCAUCAUUCCUUGGUUACUUUUGAAAACAAUUUUUGAAAACCAUUAAAAGAAAACUUUACAGCUUCCUAGUUUGAGUUUGGAUUCACACGAAUGUUCAUCCAGUUCUCUCAAACCGAGGCUCUGUUACAAACUUGUAACACUCCAAAUAUCAUAGAAAAUUAAAAAUUUUAAAUUUCAACCAUUAACCAACAUUUUUUACAAAAAGAGUCAUUGCUUCAAAAGUAUUAUUCAAAAUCAUAGUUUUUCCUAAGACCUAAUAACACAAAAUAGGAAGAUGUGCACGAUCACGCCUUCUCCUUCCUACGAUCAUCCGAAGUACCUAAAACAAUAAACUGAAAUUGUAAGCCAAAGCUUAGUGAGUUCCUCCAAAGUACCAUCAUGGAACAUAUAAAAUACAUAGAUUAACAUGUUGGGUCCAUAACCUCCCAGUUGGAUUACCUUGGCUCACAACCUCCCUGUUGGAUUGCCCUGCAUACCACAUACUGGGUCCACUACCUACCGACUGGGUUGACUUAGAUGGUUUGUGGAGUUUGGCCUAUUUUGACCCAAGGAUAUUUUGGAUAAGUUGGUAGUUAUUUAAGUCGACCAAUAUUUUGGGAUAAUAGGUGUCGAGUAGAGCCGGUUGUCAGGGAAGAGAUUUAUUCAGCUUAUGUUCAGACUGAGAGGUGAGUUUUCCUCACUGUACUUACGGGUCGAAGGCACCAAGGCCGACCCAACGAAUUGAUAUCCUGUCUAUACUGAUUGAAGAUAUGUUGAGUAUGCGAUAGAUCUGAAUGAUUAUAUGAUAGUUAUGAUAUACGUUAGACUGGUAGAUCUAUAGGGCUACCUAUGAUUAUUGGUUGUAUAAUCAUCUGUAUGUUGUAUAUAUAUUAUAUGUUAUAUGCCGACAUGUUACAUUGGGGUUGAGACUACUGCUUUGUGUCGUCAGUCAACAGACCAUGUCAAUCCAAUUGGGAUGUUGUGGGCUAGGGUAAUUCAACCAGGAGGUUGUGGACACAAUAUGCUAAUCUGUGUAUUUUAUAUGUUGCAUGAUGGUACUUUGGUGGAACUCACUAAACUUUGUGUUAUAGUUUCAGUUUAUUUUCAGGUACUUCUGAUGAUCGCGGUACGAUGAAGGUGUGGUCAUGCACAUCUUCCUGUUUUGUGUUAUUGGGUCUUGGUGAAAACUCUGAAAGUCAUGACACACUUCAAAUUGAAGUAUUUCGAUGGUACAAUCAAAAUCUCUAUUGGAUAAAAUUUAGUGACAACAACAGAGAAUUAAAAGGUUACGAUUCUUGUGUGUACCAUAUUCAAAUACCCAAAAAGGGAUAUAACUCCUUGUUCGAAAUAAAGCUAAACCAAAAAUUCUCAAGCUAUAGAAUCUUAGUUAUGUACAACUAUGAUGCAUACACUAAGCAACUACAAUAAUGAUGCCAAUUCUAUAUAAGAAGUAAUCUUAGGGUAUCAAGCAUCAUAUAUCAAGAAAUUCUAUCAUGUAAUUCCUGAAGAUCCCUAGCCUACCACUAGCAUAUUGUUCUAUCGUGAAAAACAUAUCAAAUAAUAGUGUGGUUAACUUGGGGUAUACUUUCUUACUCCGGCUGAUCGUACACAUAUCAUCAUUCUUUGGUUACUUUUGAAAACCAUUAAAAAAACUUUUACAGCUCCCUAGUUUGAGUUUGGAUUCACACGAAUGUUCAUCCAAUUCGCUCAAACCAAGGCUCUAAUACCAACUUGUAACACUCCAAAUAUCAUAGAAAAUUAAAAAUUAAAAAUUUCAACCAUUAACCAACAUUGUUUACAAAAAGAGUCAUUGCUUCAAAAGUAUUAUUCAAAAUAAUAGUUUUUCCCAAGACCCAAUAAUACAAAGCAGGAAGAUGUGCACGAUCAUGCCUUCGCCUUCCCGCGAUCAUCAGAAGUACCUGAAACAAUAAACAGAAACUGUAAGCCGAAGCUUAGUGAGUUCCCCCAAAGUACCAUAAUGCAACAUUUAAAAUACAUAGAUUAACAAAAUGGGUCCACAACCUCCCAUUUGGAUUACCUUGGCCCACAACCUCCCCGUUGGAUUGCCUUGCAUACUACAUACUGGGUCCAUAACCUUCCGACUAGGUUGACUUGGCUAGUUUGUGGAGUUUGACCUAUUUUGACCAAAGGAUAUUUUGGAUAAUUUGGUAGUAAUUUAAGUCGGGCAAUAUUUUUGGAUAAUAGUUGUUGAGUAGAGUCGGUUUUCGGGGAAGAGAUUUAUUCAGCUUGUCUUCUUACUCAGAGGUGAGUUUUCCUCACUGUACUUAUAGGCCAAAGGCACCAAGGCCGACCCAAUGGAUUGAUAUCCUGUUAGGUACUGAUUGAUGAUUUGUUGAGUAUGCGAUAGAUCUGUAUGAUUAUAUGAUAGUUAUUGAUAUACGUUAGACAUGUAGAUCUAUAGGGCUACCUGUGAUUAUUGGUUGUAUAAUCAUAUGUCUAUUGUAUGUAUAUUAUAUGUUAUAUGUCAACAUGUUACGUUAGGGUUGAGACUACUACUUUGUGUCGUCAGUCAACAGACCAUGAGAAUCUAACCGGGAGGUUGUGAGCCAGAGUAACCCAGCCGGGAGGUUGUGGGCCCAACAUGCCAAUCUAGGUGUUUUAUAUGUUGCAUGAUGGUACUUUGGAGGAACUCACUAAGCUUUGGCUUACAAUUUCAGUUUAUCGUUUCAGGUACUUGUGAUGAUCGCAGGACGGUGAAGGUGUGAUCAUGCACAUCUUCCUGUUUUGUGUUAUUGAGACUUAGGAAAAACUCUGAUUGUGAAUAAUACUUUUGAAGCAAUGAAUCUUUUUGUAAACAAUGUUGGUUAAUGGUUGGAAUUUUUUUUUUUUUUUAAAUUUUUAUGAUUUUUGGAGUGUUACAUUGGUUUUGUCUUAUAACUGAUCCAAACCCCCACACACCCUUGUUAAUCAUCAAAGAAGAAUCCAAUUAGAACUAAUUCUAUUCAACAAUAACAACCAUAGGGUGUUAGAAAUCCAUUACCUCAAAUGUAGGGAUCUUUUGAUGUCUAAGAACAUUAAUCAAGAUAAAUUAAUAAGGAUAUUCAAUUAAACCAAAGGUCUUUUGGCCUAGCACUAUCAUAUGUUGGAAAAAUGACCCUUCCUAAUGUUAGAAAAACGGGUUAUUUCGAUUGCUUGGAUUCCACUGAAAGUCAUGAUACACUUUCAAAUUGAAGUAUUUCGGUGGUACAAUCAAAAUCUCAAUUGGAUAAAAUUUAGUGACAACAAUAGAGAAUGAAAAGGUUAUGAUUCUUGUGUGUACCAGAUUCAAAUGACCAAAAAGGGAUAUGACUCCUUGUCCGAAAACUGUCAUAUUAACAGUUACAAACUGCCACAAAGCUGUCACUAAACUUGUAACACCCCAAGUUCAGAAGUGCAAGUUCAGGGUUCUUGGUGUAAUUAAGGAAGAUCGACUCGGCGAGUCGAGUCGUGAUUUGGCCAUGUGCUAAGUGACUGACUCGGCGAGUAGGCAGCUAGACUCGACGAGUCAGUGCUGGAGUGAGAAACCCUAAUUCAUGGGGUUUGCACCCUAUAUAAGGAACCUUAAGUCCCACCCCAGCCUCUUUAGGACUCCCUCUGAUGUCCAGAAACUUUCCACAUCGAUUUCAAACCCUAAAUUGAGAGUGAGAGGGAUUUAAGUGUGUUUUGGAGCUUGAAGAAGAAGGAUACUUGAAGCAAGAGUUGGUGGGAUCAUAGAGGAGCGAAGUGGAUCUGAUUUCCUUGCUUCUUGGCAUCAGCAUCAAGGUAAAAAGUUGUUGCCUUGACUUUGUUGUGUUUAGAUGGUUCAUGAAUGAAGUUUUAGGGCCAAUUUAUCAUAUAUGAGCCUCUUUUCGAGUAUUGGGUUUAGAUCUGUGGUUGCUACUACAGAUCUAGACUGGUCCUGACUCAUGAAUCUGGAAAGUGAUAGCUUUGGGGCUUGAUUGAGAGUGUCCUUGCCUUAAAACUUCACUUUAGCUUGAGUAGAGCUUGUUGAGCCUUGCAUGCACGUAAAGUUGGAAACUUUACAUGUAGAUCUUGCCCUAGGAGUCCAGAUCUAUGUAUUGAAAGCAAUAGUUUGGCCUGUGAUCAUCUGAAUGAAGGUAUUACGUAUGGACUCGGCGAGUCUGGGAGAUGACUUGACGAGUCGGACAAAAGAUUUGGAAUGAAUCGCGUAGUAACUCGGCGAGUCACAUGGGUGUACUCGACGAGUUGGAUGAAGAUAGGCAAGAACUCGACGAGUUGGAAGAACAACUCGACGAGUCUAUUGAAGAUUGCCUUGGGCUCAACGAGUCUGUUCUUGGACUCGGCGAGUCUGGUCGAGGAGUCCUAACCUUUUCUGGUUAAGUCGUGAAUCGGUGAGUCGAAGGAUGACUCGGUGAGUUGAGCAUGAAGGGACUCAGAGUUUGUUGGACUCGGCGAGUCUUGGGGCAACUCGACGAGUUGAGUCGUAAUAUGAGAGUUUUGAGUAUGGGAACUCGAAGAGUCAACGAGUUGACUCGGCGAGUAGGGUCAACCAGGAAGGUUGACCUUGACUGAGGACUUGGACUUUAACCAAGGGUUGACCAGUUGACUUCCGGGGGUAUUUUGGUAAUUAUUGGUAUUUAUUGAUUUGGUUUUUGGUAAUGAUCAGUGGCGGAGUUCGUGCUGGUGGUUGGAGCAGCGUGAUCUUAUUCUUCAGUCGGCAGUGACAGUUGAGUUAUCCUCACUAUACUGACAGGGUCUACGGCACCAAGGCCGACCCUCCAUCGGAUGGAAAUCCGGGUAUUGUUGUUAUGUUAUUGCUAUAUGGAGAUCCUUGUUGAUGGAAAGGCGGCCGACGAACGCUCGGUGGACUCUAUAUCCUCAAGGAAUCAAUUUGGAACCCGGAAAAUCAUAUUUAUUUAGGAAUGUAGCAUAUGGUUUUAGAGGUUGUCCUAAAUGGGAGGAUGUGGAUACGGUUAGUUAAGUUUAAUAAUUAUUAUUUUAUAUAUAUAAUAUUACUGAAAUUACUAGUAUUUAAUUUAUAUUUUUUUUGCAGGUUAUAUCUGUAAUAAAUGUUGUGCAUACCCAUUGGUUUUUGGUGGUUCUACAUUUAGAUACCUGGAAAGUAGAAAUUUUUGAUUCAGCACAAGUUGCGGGUUACUUCUCAACAUACAACACUAAUGGAGAAUUCAAAAGUUUUGGAGAUAGUAUUAUCUCAGAGUUGGAUGCCAUUGAUUACUGGAGCCAUUUCCCCCAUUGGACACAGAGACAAGCAAAGGUCGAGUUUUUUGAUGUUUNGACACAGAGACAAAGCAAAGGUCGAGUUUGUUGAUGUUGUAGACGCCCCACAACAAGAAUAUAGUCUUGAAAGAGGGGAUUGUGGAGUAUUUGUAUGCAUGUUUAUGGAAAUGAUUGUUUCUGGGGGUACCAGUGGCGAUUUCAAGGACAUGUAGAGAAGCUGCAUUUCUCUAUAGAAAUAAGAUGGCAAAUGUUAUUUGGGAUACUAUAUAAGUUGAUAUUAGGAACUUUGUAUAUAUAUUAAUAUUAAAUACUUGUUUCUAGUAUGUAAUCGUGUCACUUCUGGUAGUAUGUAAUCUUGUAAUUAUCUUUUAUAUUUUUUAAACAUAAUUCACCAAAAAAUGUUACGAAACCAUACAUUCAAACAAAAUAAACAUUACAAAUAACAUGAAUACAUUACAAUAGAGUCGUCUACAUAAAAAUAAGGUUUCUUACGACUAACAAACAUUAGAUAAAACAUUGGAAAUAAAAUACUCAUCUACUUGAAAAAAACUUUAUCUUUUACCAGAUUCCAAACGUCCGUAUACUCGAAAUCAUGUCCAUCAAACUUGCAUAGGUAAUAUCCAUUCACAUCUUCAAGAAGUUCUUCAUUAUCUGCUUGAGAGCGUCGCAUUUUCUCAGGAUUGUAGCAUCGAUUGAACCAUGUGACCUUAAACUUUAAAUCCAUCCAUUUACUAACAAUAGCAGGUUUUAGUCGUUCGUGUCCUUGCCCGACUUGAUAGUUGAACAAAGCUAUGAGGCGGGACCAUUCAUCACCUACAAGGCAAUUCAGGGGAGCCAUCACUGGUAGACCCUCGUAAAUGGUAAUCCAACUUUGUAUUAGGACCAACAACUCUGUUGGCGUCCAUGGAGAUGUACAAUUUGUUGGAGAGGCUGCAUUAGAUGGAUUUGUUGCAUUCGAAGAACUUGGUACAUUGGACGCCAUUUCUUAAUUGAUCUACUAUCAACUAAAGAAUUGAAUUUCGUAUAGACACUACGUUUAAUAUAUGUACAAACAUAUGUUAUACAAAGAUAUGUCAGUAACGCGGACUGACGAGCCAGUAACGCGGACUUACGAGCCAGUAACGUGGACUGACAACGAUUAAUAUAUAUAAAUAGUUUCUUAAUGCGGACUGACGAGUCAGUAACGCGGACUUACGAGUCAGUAACGCGGACUGACAACGAUUAACAUAUAUAAAAAGUUUCUUAACGCGGACUAACGAGUCAGUAACGCGGUCUUACGAGUCAGUAACACGGACUGAAAACGAUUAAUAUAUAUCAAAAGUUUCUUAACGCGGACUGAUGAGUCAGUAACACGGACUAACAAUUACUAGACAAAACAGUUUUGCGGACUGACAAGACAGAAACACGGAUUGACAAGUCAGUAACGCGGAGUGAUCAUUGGCUUUGCGGACUCACAAGUCAGUAACGCGGACUGACAACGAAGUAACACGGACUAACAACCCCGUAACGCGGAUUGAGAACGCAGUAACGCGGACUAACAAGUCUAUAUAAAACGACAAACAACAAUGUAUCACUUCAUCUAAGGUAUUUUAGUUCAUGUGCUUUGUAUGUUUUACAANUUCAUGUGCUUGUAUGUUUUACAAUGGGUUCAAACCAAUGGACCGCUAACGAGUAUUUCCUUCUAGCUCGUGCAUAUAUUAAUGUCAAAGAGAACACCAGUUUGGAGGAUAUAAUGUUUUUCUCCCAACUAACGAAUACCUUCAACACUGACGCUGAAACCACCAUACAAAACCAUCGCAACACGCUUGAUAUAGCUACAAAAUGGUAUGAAUUGAAAACGGAAGUUGUGUUAUUAAACGAUCUUUAUAAUAAGAUUGAAGAUGAUCAUGUCAAUGAUACUGAGGAAGAGAUCUUGGAGGUGUCUAAAGAAGAAUACAAAUCCAUUAGCAACGGACAGAGUUUCGAGUUUGAAGCCCCUUGGAAUCUUUUGAAAAAUGUACCGUUUUUUUAAGUAGAACUGCAUUUUGUAUUGUUCUUGUAUUUCUUUAUUUAAAUGUAAUAUGGUAUUUAUCCUUUAUUUUAAAAAAAAAUAUUUGACCAACAAAUGUUACAAAACCAUACAUUCAAAAAACAUUAUCUGACAAACAGCUUACGCGGACUGACAAAUAAGCUACGCGUAAUGACAACACAUUUACGCGGACUGACAAGUAAGUUCUGCGGAAUAAUGUAUACUAAUUCCUUAUAAAUUUUGACAACCAUGACGAAAAUUUACAAGGUGUCGAAAGUUGUGAAAAUGAGUUCAGUCAAUCAGGUAUUAAGGAAAAGUUUCUCCAGCCUACCGACUUUUUUCCAUAAGCUGCAAAGAAGCAAUCCUACCACCUUCACGUACAUUACGAAGGAUCGGUACAAUCGUUUCCAAAUUUGUUUCGUGGCAUUGGGAUGCGUGGUAUGUAAUCCCUUAUAGUAAAUAAAUAUUUAGUUAUUUCAAGUUGGUAUAUGCCUAAUAUUCUUAUGUUGACUUACAGAUUCGUACAUUUCUCACGUCUAUGAUAUCAAUCAUAUUCGUUGGUCAAGUACCUCUAAUUGGGGCAUAUGUAACAUCCAUGUACAUUGCUUUUGCUUUAGAUGGAAAUCAUGAACCCCUUCUCAUAGUGUUUGCCUUGGGAACCAUAAAUUGUGACAAUUCAUGGUUAUGGUUCAUAAGGAGGCUUAAAGACUGUUUAGGUGACAAUACAUAAUUUGGUUUCAUAAGCCAUAUGUCUGAUUCUAUGGACUUUGCAGUCCACAGAGUCUACCCUGAUUCAUAUCAUGGCUAUUGUUGUAAAAAUAUAGCCAAGAAAAUACGCGCUUCCAUCGGAACCAAUACAGUCGUAGAACAGUGGUUCUGUAAGACGUGUAAAGCAUAUAAUUUAUCUCAAUUUUAUGCAUGUUUGAACAAUUUAAAAAAUGAGGUAAAUGGGAAUGAUCUUCAUUGGCUUGACAAUAUUCCCAUUGCAAAAUGGGUACGGGCUUGUUUUCCAAGAGUAAGUUUCAAUGUUAAAUUCAUUGACAUUCCCGAUGUUUUCAAUUGGUUUAAAACAAACACGCAUGAGUUUCCAAUAACAACAAUCAUUGAAAUGGUUCAUGACUCGAUGUAAGAAGUUUAUCUUCGACGUGCUGUUUUUGGAGGUAAUUAUAAGUUAUGACAUCAUUAAAACGGUGAAUUGAUAUGUUUAUUAUACGUUAUGACCUUAUAAUUUUUUUUAUUGAUUCAGUUGAUUUCACAGGGGAUAUCCAUAAUCUUCUAACCCCUUAUGCACUUAAGGUGAUUCAUAAAAGAUUUAUCCACUCGGAUGGUUGUAGGAUUACGCAUAUUGUUGGCGAUAGAUAUGAAGUGACUAAGUAUUCAACAACCGAAUAUGUACAACUAGACCGUGGUAUUUGUAGUUGCGGUAAAUGGCAAAAAUGCGGUAUACCUUGUGAGCAUGCUAUAGCUUCACUACACAGACUCGAAAUUGCAGAAAUCCAUCAAAUGGUAAAUUUAAAGUUAAGUACAGCGGUGUAUCGAAAUGCUUAUCAAACUGAGACGGUCUAUCCUAUUCCAACCCUUAGGCAUUGGGAAAAACCAGUCGAAAGUGUUGUGGUCUUACCUCCACGCCAAUUCAAUUGAACUUUAUUGUAUGGAUCACAACGAAUAUUAGUUUUUAUUCAGUUCUAUGUUAACCGUACUUGUAAUGGUUUGUUGGCAUUCUUUACUUUUUAAUAAAAAAAAUGUUUACCUUUAAAUAAAUAAUUGUAUUUUCAUAAUUGUAAUAUGUAUGCAUGACAACGACUAGACAAAAAAACUAUGCGAACUGACAAACGCAGUAACGCGGACUGACAAAAACCUCUACGGACUAACAACAGCUCUCUGCAGAGUGGAAGGGACUAUAUAUAGUCAUGGAUGGUCGUCGGAUUUUUCGUAUAGAGUUAUAAUUUUUUAAAUUUAAAAUGACUUCAUCUUCAUCUUUGUAUAUUUGCUCGUGCAACGAAGUUGAUUGUUUCUAUUGUGAUCCGAUCGACCCUUUUCUUGCACCAUCACCAAAUUUAAGAGAGUCAUAUAUGUCGGAGGAUACUUUGCAACAACUACAAUGGGCUGAAGAACAACAAAAAAAAAGAUAAAGACUCGUCUCGGGCUCUCACUGAACGACGUGACCUCAUUGCGGCGGAGUGCAAAGAUGUUGAGGAAAGGAUGACGAUUACAAAAAAAAAUCAAAAAUCAUGGGGAAUGGAAAAAAAAACNCUAAGAAGAAUCUCAAACUGUCUGAAAAAUGGCUUGCUGACAAGGAUGCAGAAAUGAUAGAACUUGGUAGGCAAAAGGACCGUAUGGAAGAUAAAAUAAGAAUAAGGGACGACUACAUAACAAUGGAGAAAGAAAAGUAUCCUUUGCAAUUCCCUUAAGUUAAUUACCGUUGUUGUACGUUUACUAUAUGUUUCUAGUUUGUUGAAUGUAUUAACUUCGAGUAUUAGUUAUUAUUCUACUAGUAAUUAUGCAGUAAUAUAAUCAUAAUAUUACCCAUCAUCUUUAAAAUAAACACACCAGCUCAAAGUAGACAAAUUAAUGUCCUCUAAAACAAAACAUAAUUAAUUAUAAAUACAACAUCAAUCAUUCAAAUCAAACGUUGAACAAUAGUCUUCUCUCUACGUCCCACUCGUCCAACGCGUGUCUUGUGUCCCGUGCGUCUCUAGCGUCUCCUGAGUCCCUUCUGUCCCUUUCCCUUUUCCUUUUGUGUUACUACUUGAUGUCGUAUUAGUUUUUCUAGCCUUUUUUUGUUUCUUUGGGACCAAUGUCGGACAAGUCGCUGCAUUAUGUGUUGUACUAUCACAUCUACUACACCUUCUUAUUAUAGGUUCCUCACCUUGUGACGGAAUACGAUUUCUGUUUCUCGGUCUACCAGCUUGACGUGUAUCCAUUAUCGGGGGUUUCACAACCAUCAUGUUAGCAGGAAUCUCCCAAUCACACGGUUCUGGAAGGGGGUAAACCGGCUCCUCAUACGUACUUCGGUAUGUUUCCAUUUUGUAAGCAUCUAUAGCCAGAUGUCCGAAGUUAGUUUUUUUCAAGUGCUUCAAGACCAUUAUCACAUGACCACAAGGCAACCCAGUUCCUUCCCAAUAUUUGCAUGUACAAGUCUCUUGCCUCAGAUCAACUAUGCCACCAUGUUUGAAAUCAUGAACUUCAUAAAGUGCAUCUGAAACACCAGAAAUGGACCAUCCUGUCGUACGCUCUUCAUUUUUACUAACUACUUUUUCAGCCCACUCGGUUAGCACUGUUGAACGUUUCCCUAUAAAGAAGAUAUAUAUAAUUAACUAAUUAUUCGACCUAAUUAAAGACAAAAUAAAAUUCAUACCUCCUUCGAUGCGACGCUUGUAACACCAUUCCUGUGAAAGACGUCGGAAGAACUCAAGAAGGGGUAUUAUAGGCAUCUUCCUUGCAUCUACAGAUAAAGCAUUCAUGAACUCUGCACUGUUCGAGGUCAUGUAAUCGUAACGUUUCGAUGGCGAAUAUGCUCUAGUCCAUUUAACACAGGGAAUUUCACUUAGAUACGCUGCUACUUGCGGCCUAGUAGAACUAAAUAUAUACCACAAUUCUUCAAAAACAUUUCUUUUGUAAGCUUUCACAAGCCUCCAAAACAACCCUUUUGUUUUAUCAUUUUUCCCAAACUUGUGUACUAUGUUUCCUAGUGUGACAUCCCCAAAAUCUUGGCCAGAAAAGACCGAUUUCAUUGAUGCUUUUUAAAAUAAUUUCAGAGUAAAUCCUUUUGAUUUUAAAAGAGAUGCGGAAUUUGUUCCCAAAAACAAAACAUGAUAAAAUAGAUCUUUUAUCAAAACAUUUCAUAAAGAAAUAUAAUUUCAUUUCAUAAUCAAAACCGGGAUGUCAUGUUCCGAUACAGACCAUAAAGCAUAAACGAUAACAUUACAAGUCAUUCAACAAAUAUUAUACAUAUGCAGACUUGUAAACAAAACAACUUGAUGAUUCAUCCAUCUUAUGCCCUUACGCCACUUCCUGUAAUACAAGUAAACUGAGUGGGUCAGGCUUGGGAGCCUGGUGAGCAUAUAGGGUUUUCAACCCACAAUAAAUAAUUAUAUUUAAUUCAACAAUCAACAAUAACCCGAUUACCCAUUCCCGUUUUCCUUACUUUACGUCCCUAAAACAACAUCUAUUAUAAGGGACCUAAUCUAGGAGUUUCAUCGGGACAAACAUUACUGCAAAGGGGCUUCCUUAGCAAUAAAUAUCCUAAAGGCAACCAUGAGGGGGAUAUAGUUCACCGGUGAACACGUCGUUCACAAGACCUACAGGUUAUGAGCCUACUAGUGUUCCACAGGACUGUCUAGAAUAGUCCGUGGUCGUCAUCCAUACUCUGCUGAAUGACUAGAAUAACACCAACAACAUCGAGGCCUCUCAUCUGUUUAUUACACACCAACUAUCUACCCAUGUUCUACCCAACAUAUUAGUAGAUAAAAAUAUACAUUUGUAUACAUAGUUUAAAACCUGUAUAGCAUGCUCAAUCAAUACAUUUUUCCACAUAACAGAUGAGGUACACACACAUAACACGUAUUUCAUAGAGAAUAAAUCAGAUCUAUGAGAUAGAAGAAAGUGAAUAUACAUCCACACAUAUAGUCAACAAAGUAUACACGUAACACGUAUUUCGUAUAAAAUACUUCAUAAUAAUGUGUUAGAAGAAAAUGACUACACACUCACUUGAUCAGAAGAUGAUCGGGCAACACUACGACUUGUAGAAGUAGUGUUUCUCCGUAGAUCUGGAAGAUCUUCACAUAAACCGGGCUCCUCGCGGGCAGGUCUUCGGCUCUGAAAUCUCACUUCUCGGGAUUCUCGGGACUUCGGAUCUUGCUUCGGGGCUCGCGAAUAAUAUUGGGGCUUCGGGGUAUGAUUGGCAAGCAAAUCGAGGCAAAAACUAGAGAGAAGAAAGAGUUUGAACUAGAGAAAAUGGUUGAUCUCGCAUUCUAUUUAUAGGCUGCUGGGUCUAGGAUUAUGCCGGGCGUAAUUUCCAGGUACGCUGGGCGUACUAAGUACACUGGGCGUAAUUAGGUUACGUUGGGCGUACUUUGACGUCACUGCAUGCGUCAAUUGGUGGCACUCGAGUAUUGGUCAGACAAGUUGCACCCCUCUGAGUACGCUGGGCGUACUCAAAUUACGCUGGGCGUAAUUUGACUCGUCAAACUUCUAAAUUGCGUAACUUUGGCAUACGAGCUCCGUUUUCGACGUUCUUUAUAUCAACGCGUAGGUUAGACCAUACUCUACAACUUUCAUUUAGACUCAAUUUUUACUUUUAUUUUUAUUAUUUAUUUUUAGUAGGCCGGGACAGGAAAACUUCGUUAUAAAUUCAUAACUUCUUCGUUCGACGUCCGUUCUCGCCUAACUUUUCAUCGUUUCACUACUAACAACGAGAUAUUCGAUUCUCGUUUAGAUUGUUCUGGCUAAAAACCGCUCGAUCUCAAAUCGAGUAUUCGGGCUGCAUACUGCCAAGUCGAAACUUCAGANGAAAAUCAUAUUCCUCAUACGAAGUCAGAUUUGGGCGUUCUAUAUAUAUUUAGAAACCUAGUUUCAACUACUACAACAUUAUCCAAAGAUAUCGAGUUUAUUUUACACUUCAUUUUGACGCUAAUUUUUAUUCUUAAUUCAAUUAAAUUAUAAUAAUUAAGAAAACACACACAUAAUUCACAUAAUUCACAAAUAAUACAUUUUUAUUAUUUCAGAUUGGGUUACAAAGGUUAACCUAGACUAUUACAUUGCUAAAAAUGGCAAGCCCAUAAUCACGGGCGUUACAAUUUUCUCCACCUUAGAAUGAUUCCGUCCCUGGAAUCACACAUCAACAAAUAAAUGCGGAUAGCGACCCAUCAUGUCACUCUCCGUCUCCCAGGUGAGAUACGACCCAUUCGUGUGUUUCCAACGGACAAGCACUAACUCAACCAUCUUACGUCGCAAUUUCUUAGUCUUCCGGUCAACGAUUGCUUCUGGUUCUUCAAUCAAUCUUUUGUUUUCAUCAAUUAUUAACUCUGAAAGUGGAAUCAUGUCGGGAACUUCUCCCGUGAACUUCCUCAAGUAACACAUAUGAAAAGUGUUAUGAAUUCCAUUCAGUUCUUCGAGUAGUUCGAGCUUGUAAGCUUGGUUCCUAAUUCUCUGAAGAACUUUAAACGGUCCAAUAAACCUUGGACUUAACUUUCCCCUUUUACCACAUCUUAUAAGUCCCUUCCACGGCGAGACUUUAAGCAAAACCGAAUCUCCAACUUCAAAAGUCAUCGGUCUUCGCUUUUUGUCAGCAUAGCUCUUUUGACGGUCGUGAGCUGCUAACAUUCUUUCCCUAAUUAUUUUCAACUUUUCAGCCGUUUGAUGGACUAUCUCUGGUCCCAUAAACUGCUUUUCCCCAGCCUCAAGCCAACAAGACUGCGUACGACACUUCUGUCCGUACAAAGCUUGAUAAGGUGCCAUCUUAAUGCUCGAGUGGAAACUAUUAUUAUAGGAAAAUUCUACCAAUGGUAAAUGUUCAUCCCAAUUACCUAGGAAUUCCAAGGUACAUGCUCUCAGCAUAUCUUCAAGUGUUUGUAUCGUUCUUUCACUCUGACCAUCAGUCUGCGGAUGGUAAGCUGUGCUUAAACACAACUUGGUACCCAAUUCCUCUUGUAGACUUUUCCAAAACCGUGAGGUGAAACGACUAUCACGAUCCGACACAAUUGUUAACGGAACACCGUGAAGCCUCACAAUUUCCUUCACGUAAGAAUUCGCAAGCUUUUCCAUAGACCAUUUCUCAUUGGCUGCUAUGAAAUGCGCACUCUUAGUGAAUCGAUCAACGACCACCCAAAUCAUGUCGUGACCAUUCUUUGUUCUGGGCAGUUUAGUGACAAAAUCCAUAGCAAUGUCUUCCCACUUACCCAUAGGCACAGGCAAUGGUUCUAAACUCCCGUACGGUUUCUGAUGUUGUGUCUUGACUCUCGCACAAGUCACACACUCGGCCACAUACUUUGCAACAUCAAGCUUCAUCGUCGGCCACCAGUAGUAGGGUUUCAGGUCCCUAUACAUUUUAGUGCUACCCGGAUGAAUCGAGUACAUGGUCUUGUGAGCUUCUUCCAUCAGAAGAUCUCUGACUCCUCCUGUCUUAGGUAUCCAAAUCCGAUCUUGGAACACCUUCAGUCCAUGACUGUUUACACCGAACACCAACGUUUUGCCCAAACGUUCCUCCUUUCUGUCAUUCUUCUCAGAAGCUUCGCUCUGAGCUUUCUUUAUACUUUCCAAAAUAGUUGAGACAACUUCAAUUCUCAACGCUCUUGGCCUUUUCCUUUCGGGAUUGACUUUCCGACUGAGAGCAUCAGCAACAACAUUAGCUUUACCGGGGUGGUAAAGUAUCUCGCAGUCAUAGUCUUUAAGUAAUUCUAGCCAGCGUCGUUGCCUCAUAUUCAAUUCUUUCUGAUUAAAGAGGUAUUGGAGACUCUUAUGAUCAGUGAAAAGUUUGCACUUCGUGCCAUAGAGGUAAUGCCUCCAUAUUUUCAGAGCGAAAACUACCGCUGCCAACUCCAAAUCAUGAGUCGGGUAAUUCUUUUCAUGCUCUUUCAGCUGUCGAGACGCAUAUGCUAUCACCUUUUCUCUUUGGGUCAAAACACAACCCAAUCCAACACCAGACGCAUCGCUAUAAACAGCGAAGUCUUCAACUCCAUCGGGUAGAGAAAGUAUCGGUGCCUCGCAUAGCUUCUUCUUUAACUUCUCGAAUGCUUCUUUAUGCUUCUCACUCCAAGCAUAAGUAGCUCCUUUGUGGGUCAAAGCUGUCAAUGGAGUAGCAAUCGAAGAAAAGCCUUGGAUAAACCUUCAAUAAUAUCCGGCUAAUCCCAAAAAGCUUCGAAUCUCCGUGGGACUUUUCGGUUGUUCCCACUUCAUCACAGCUUCGAUCUUCGCUGGAUCAACCAUUAUCCCUUCUUGGUUGACCACGUGACCCAAGAAUUGUACUUCUCGAAUCCAAAAAUCACAUCUGGAGAACUUUGCAUACAACUUAUCCUUCUUUAAAACUUCUAACACUUCUCGCAAGUGUCUGCCAUGCUCCUCCUGGCUUUUCGAGUAAAUCAGAAUGUCGUCUAUGAACACUAUNGAACGGAUUACAAACCCUGUUCAUUAAAUCCAUGAAUGCUGCUGGAGCAUUGGUUAGUCCAAACGACAUAACCAAAAACUCGUAGUGCCCAUAUCAUGUUCUGAAUGCAGUCUUCUCUAUAUCCUGCUCUCUUACUUUUAGCUGAUGAUAUCCUGACCUCAGGUCGAUUUUUGAAAAAUAACUUGAACCUUGUAGUUGAUCGAACAGGUCAUCAAUCCUCGGCAACGAAUAUCUAUUCUUUAUUGUUGCCUUGUUCAGUUCUCUGUAAUCGAUGCACAUCCUCAUACUUCCAUAUUUCUUUUGACGAAUAACAUCGGAGCUCCCCAGGCCGAUGAACUAGGUCUUAUGAAACCUUUGUCCAAUAACUCCUGAAGUUGCAUCAUCCGCUCCUUCAUCUCCAUCGGUGCUAGUCGGUAAGGUGCUUUUGCUAUAGGCGUCGUUCCCGGCAACAAGUCGAUACGAAAUUCUACUUGUCGAUCAGAAGGUAAUCCAGGAAGAUCUUCGGGAAAUACUUCCGGAUAAUCACAUACGACAGGAAUAUUCUGCAUCACCUUUUUUUCCUUCUUAGCAUCGAUCACGAAUGCUAAAUAUGAUGUACACCCCUUGGUCAAACAUUUUCUGGCUUUCAUUAGAGAAAUGAUUCCAGAAUUUACUCUGCGUUUAUCUCCAUACACCAUAAACGAUUCCUUCCCAGGCGGGUUCACUUUCACUAUUUUCUUCUUGCAUAAAAUUUCGGCAUCAUUGGCGCUAAGCCAAUCCAUUCCCAAAAUGAUGUCGAAACUGUUAAGUUCGAUAUAAAGGAGUAGUUUUCUACCAAAUUCAUGCGAUAUAAAGGAGUAGUUGGCUCCAGAAUCAAAUAAAAUUUGGGCAGACGAUUUGUUUACGAGAAAGGUACCUGAACGACAUCAGCUUCAUCUUUAGCAGCUUCCAGUGUCAUCUGGAAUGCUCUCGCCUUCGGCUUUGGCGAAAUGUUGGGUUUUGUUGCCUCCUUCUUCUUCGGACAAUCUCUUGAUAUGUGCCCUUCCUCACCACAACCAUAACAAACAUUCUUGGUGAGGGUGCAGUCGUUGGCAUAAUGCCCUGGCUUUCCACAUUUCAAGCAUGUGGCUUCCCCGCCGCACUUCCCAUGAUGCUUCUUCUUGCAUUUGUCGCACCAUUUCGCUUCGCCUCCUCCACCCCCUCUCGAACUAGACUUCGAGAAUUUACCCUUUUUGCUGGACCCUGAAGAUCCCUCGAACUUCCUCUUUUCACCAACCUCUGACCUUUCCAGACCUUUUUCCCUGAUCUGGGUCUCAACAUUUCUAGCAGCCCAGAUGGCGGCUUUCAAUGUGGUUGCUUGCUUAACCAUUAGACCAUAGUCCGCUGGUAGUCCAAGGGCAAACUUGUUGACCUUAGAGAGUUCUGUAGGCACCAAAUAUGGGAUAAACUUCAUCUUUUCUGUGAAACUUGCAGCGUAUUCAGUAACGCUCAAUUUCCCUUUCUUCAAAUUCUGAAACUCAUUACUGAUUUCCAGAAGGUCCUGCUCGGAGCAGUAUUGCAGUUUUAGUUGUUCCACAAAGUCUUCCCAAGACAUUUUGCUUGCUUCUCCCUUGGGCAUAGAGUCAGCUAACAGCUUCCACCAACUCAACACGCCAGAUUUUAGCAGAGGGAUCGCAAGAGCGGUCUUCUGCCUGUUGCUGCAUUCGCAACUUUCAAACAUAGUCUCCAUUUCGGAGAUCCAGUCCAUAACUUGCACCGGCGUCGGGCUUCCGGAUAGACAUGGUGGUUUGGAUGCCAUGAAAUCCUUAUACUUGCACCCACGACCAUCAUUUCCUCCAUACUGGUUAUUGCGUCUAACCACUGGUUGUUCGUCUUGACCAAUGAUCCCACUAAAGUUUUCUCCUUCAGACUGCCCUCCAUUCUCCUCGGGCUCUUCCGCUUGAAUUGACGGUUCUUCACGAUUCUGCCUAAGCAGGCGUCUUGUUUCUUCCAUCUGACGAUCCAACAUCAUUUGAAUCAUCAUUUGUACACCAGCCAUUGUUAUCGGCUCAGGUGCAUCAGCUACGACAGGUACUUGUUGAAUUACAGGCGGUUGAUUCCUGUUUUCAUCAGCAUUUCCAACUCCGCUUCUUGUUCUCACCAUUUUUGAUCUACACACCGAAUAAUUUCACCUUAUUACUCCAAACGAUUACAUGCUAGUUCUAAUAUCGUAUACAUACGCUUAGAAUCCUAAACACAUAAACCUUCAGAUCCGGUUGGCAACAAACCGUAGAUCCGAACAAAUAAUAUCAUAUAUGGCAACAUAUAACAUUUAGCACAUAAAAGCAUUUUAGGCAACUUUCCUAAAAUAAACUAGUGCUCGUGUCUAAAAUUUAUCAGACACACAUCUCACAAUCUCCACUUAGCAUACUAAGUUUAAGUCUAGAAAUCCUACAAAUUCCUAGUUCGCUUAAACUAAUGCUCUGAUACCAACUGUGACAUCCCCAAAAUCUCGGCCAGAAAAGACCGAUUUCAUUUAUGCUUUUUAAAACAAUUUCAGAGUAAAUCCUUUUGAUUUUAAAAGAGAUGCGGAAUUUGUUCCCAAAAACAAAACAUGAUAAAAUAGAUCUUUUAUCAAAACAUUUCAUAAAGAAAUAUAAUUUCAUUUCAUAAUCAAAAAUCGGGAUGUCAUGUUCCGAUACAGACCAUAAAGCAUAAACGAUAACAUUACAAGUCAUUCAACAAAUAUAUACAUAUACAGACUUGUAAACAAAACAACUUGAUGAUUCAUCCAUCUUAUGCCCUUGCGCCACUUCCUGUAAUACAAAUAAACUGAGUGGGUCAGGCUUGGGAGCCUGGUGAGCAUAUAGGGUUUUCAACCCACAAUAAAUAAUUAUAUUUAAUUCAACAAUCAACAAUAACCCGAUUACCCAUUCCCGUUUUCCUCACUUUACGUCCCUAAAACAACAUCUAUUAUAAGGGACCUAAUCUAGGAUUUUCAUCAGGACGGACAUUACUGCAAAGGGGCUUCCUUAGCAAUAAAUAUCCUAAAGGCAACCAUGAGGGGGAUAGAGUACACCGGUGAACACGUCGUUCACAACACCUACAGGUUAUGAGCCUGCUAGUGUUCCAUAGGACUGUCUAAAAUAGUCCGUGGUCGUCAUCCAUACUCUGUUGAAUGACUAGAAUAACACCAACAUCAAGGCCUCUCAUCUGUUUAUUACACACCAAUUAUCUACCCAUGUUCUACCCAACAUAUUAGUAGAUAAAAAUAUACAUUUUUAUACAAAGUUUAAAACCUGUAUAGCAUGCUCGAUCAAUACAUUUUUCCACAUAACAGAUGAGGUACACACACAUAACACGUAUUUCAUAGAGAAUAAAUCAGAUCUAUGAGAUAGAAGAAAGUGAAUAUACAUCCACACAUAUAGUCAACAAAGUAUACACGUAACACGUAUUUCGUAUAAAAUACUUCAUAAUAAUGUGUUAGAAGAAAAUGACUACACACUCACUUGAUCAGAAGAUGAUCGGGCAACACUACGACUUGUAGAAGUAGUGUUUCUCCGUAGAUCUGGAAGAUCUUCACAUAAACCGGGCUCCUCGCGGGCAGGUCUUCGGCUCUGAAAUCUCACUUCUCGGGAUUCUCGGGACUUCGGAUCUUGCUUCGGGGCUCGGGAAUAAUACCGGGACUUCGGGGUAUGAUUGGCACGCAAAUCGAGGCAAAAACUAGAGAGAAGAAAGAGUUUGAACAAGAGAAAAUGGUUGAUCUCGCAUUCUAUUUAUUGGCUGUUGGGUCUGGGAUUACGUUGGGCGUAAUUUCCAGGUACGCUGGGCGUACUCAAUACACUGGGCGUAAUUAGGUUACGUUGGGCGUACUUUGACGUCACUGCGUGCGUCAAUUGGUGGCACUCGAGUAUUGGUCAGACAAGUUGCACCCCUCUGAGUAUGCUGGACGUAAUUUGACUCAUCAAACUUCUAAAUUGCGUAACUUUCGCAUACGAGCUCUGUUUUCGACGUUCUUUAUAUCCACGCGUAGGUCAGACCAUACUCUACAACUUUCAUUUAGACUCCAUCGGCUAAUUUUGACUUUUAUUUUUAUUAUUUAUUUUUAGUAGGCCGGGACAGGAAAACUUCGUUAUAAAUUCAUAACUUCUUUGUCCGACGUCCGUUCUCGCCUAACUUUUUAUCGUUUCGCUACUAACAACGAGAUCUUCAAUUCUCAUUUAGAUUGUUUCGGCUAAAAACCGCUCGAUCUCAAAUCGAGUAUUUGGGCUGCAUACUGCCAAGUCGAAACUUCAGAAAAUCAUAACUUCCUCAUACGAAGUCAAAUUUGGGCGUUCUAUAUAUAUUCUGAAACCUCGUUUCAACUACUACAACAUUAUCCAAAGAUAUCGAGUUUAUUUUACACUUCAUUUUGAUGCUUAUUUUUAUUCUUAAUUCAAUUAAAUUAUAAUUAAGAAAACACACACAUAAUUCACAUAAUUCACAAAUAAUACAUUUUUAUUAUUUCAGAUUGCAUUACAAAGGUUAACCUAGACUAUUACAUUGCUAAAAAUGGCAAGCCCAGAAACACAGACGUUACACCUAGUAUAUGAAAAGCACACAAGCCAUGAUGAGCAUGUGGAAAAACAUUUUCAAUACUAACGCGAAUUGUAUCGGCCCUAUCAGUUACAAAAGUCAAUUCUUGACAAUCACUAACACAUUCAUACAACUUUUCAAGAAACCAUGUCCACGUAAGACCACUUUUUUUUUUCAUAUUCCGUGCGUAAGGGGCAGUAUCUGGUUGUUCCCAUCCAUAGCUACUCCAUGCAAUAUGGUUCCCUUAAAAGCACCCUUCAAAUGGGCACCAUCCAUAAUUAUAACUUUACGACAAAAACUUUUGAACGCUCGUAUCUGCAAUAUAUAAAAAUGGAACACAUAAACACUCUAUAAUUUGUUUACAAAAAUUAUAUAUUAAAUAACAACAAGUUUUUUGUAUUUACCGUGCUCCCAAUGGCAUAAAAACAACACUCGAAACAAUCUUCAGAAUCUGUUUGAAUAUACGCAACUGUACCGGGAUUAUGCCUCUUCAAAUUGUGAAAAUAAAUAGGAAGUUUGGCAAAACAUUCUUCAGAGGAUCCCAACAACAGUUUCAUAGCAUAUUGUUUUGCACGCCAAGCUUGUUUGUAAUCUACGUUGAUUUCCAGCAAAGCAUUCAAAUCCCUUGAUAUUUCAUUAGGCCUCCAAACCUUGGAACGAGUUUUUCCCAUAAUCUCAUGCAAUAUAGUACCCAUGACUUUUUUAUUAGCAUGCUUAUGAUUAGGGUGUAUCUGUAAUGACGAACAUGUGUACACGUUGUUGAAAGUCCUGAUUUCAAAUUCAUCAGUGAGAUCAAGGCGUUUUGCAUACAAACGCCAACUACAGUUCUCAAUUUCACAAUAUACCUCAUAACGAUUUUUGUUAGAAUGUUUGGUCUUAAACUGAAACUUUUCUCUUGUUGCUUUAAGAAUCAAUGCAAAAAUUAGUUGUUGUUUGUUGUCAUAUGUUUGACGAACAAACAUAUCAUCAUUUGGACCUAAACUGUGAAAUGGUCCGGGUUCAACAAUAGGAUCAGGACAAUCAGGUAUGGGAGACAUACCGUAAAAAAUGUCUGAAGCUUUUUUCCCGUAUGUGAACUCAUCUUCUGACCAUCCUUCAUUUGACUCUUCACUGUCUGAGAAAGUUUUGUUAGUCAAUCUUCUAAACCCAUAUAAAUUUUUUUCUUCAACCGUAUUCAGUGCCACCGUUUCUUCUUCUGGACAAUCUUCAACAUUAUCAGAUACAAUGUUAUCAACAUUGUAUGGUACAACUUUCUCAGCUGCUUCUGUCUGUUCGACCAAUCCCUGAAACACCUCUAAAUACAAAUGCACAAUCUCCUUCGUUUCAGAAAUUACAUUUCUGAGUUGAUUAACAUCUGCUUCAUCUAAAAUAUUCAUCACAUACCCAUGAACCGGGUGUUGAAAUGACAAUGAUAUAUUACUAUUGAACACCUUAGCCUUACUUUUGACCAAAUCAAACAAUAUUCGAAAAUCAAAAUUAGGCGGAGGCAGUAAACCCAAGUUGUUUAACUUUGGUCUAACGUAGGUGUUAAUCGCAUUACUUAUCUGCAAAAAACCUCCAGUACAUAAAAUAACAAAACUCAUAUUUGGUUUUGAAAAUCAAAUGAAAACGAACUGAUCUAUCGACCAAAAUAAAACAAACAUAUGAAAAAGAAACUUUUGUAUCAAAAAACUCUUCAAAAUCCGCUCCAACCACCCAUUCCACGGAGGCAUUACUCUCUCCGCAGAGACCCAUUCCGCGGAGCAUGAUUAAAAAGGCUAACAACCUAUUGUUCGACCACUUCGCAGAGAUGACUUCAUUCCGCGGAGGUCCGCGGAGGGUCCUCCGCGGAAUGCAUGUCUAUAGCUGGAAUUUUUUUUUUGUGUCUAAAUUUUUAAAUUUCCCCCUUUUUUCGUCUAUAGCCUAUAUUUUCUCUAAAUGAUUUACAUAUUGAAAGUUCAGAAACAAGUUAAAACUUAAACCCUAAAAGAGCGUACAAAUUUCAAUCGUCAACAUACCCCACCACAAAGGCACAAAUAAUCAAAGAAACAAAUGUAGAUGUAGAGGCCUUUUUCACCACAAUCACCCUUCAUCGGCCAUUUCGAAGGCCACGUGAAAUGUCACUAACGUGGCCCUAUAAAUAUCCACUACUUUGUCUUUAACCUUUCCCCCCUCUCAUAUAAAACCCUCCAUCCUCCUCCUUUACCACCAUCACCAACUACCUUCUCUCCUCCAUCAAAAGUAUCCCCAUCUUUUCCGACAUGGCUGCUUCUUCAAUCUUCAUGGCAACUCCCAUCACACUCCUCAAGAAAACUCCCACCUUCUCCGUCAAAUGUAUGUCACAAACACCUCAAAGCGGUGAACCGGGGGUUUCAAAACCAGCAACCACCCCAACACCACCACAGAUCAACAUUCCUCCUCCUCCGCCACCUGCUCCAAAGGUCAGCACGAAGUUCUCUGACGUGUUGGCGUUUAGUGGAC
This 40176-nucleotide long non-coding RNA is filed under the name Lactuca sativa (garden lettuce). RNAcentral's name for it is "long non-coding RNA (LSAT_LNC006708)". Lineage: Eukaryota; Viridiplantae; Streptophyta; Magnoliopsida; Asterales; Asteraceae. The record is from RNAcentral.